UUUCCGUAGGUGAACCUGCGGAAGGAUCAUUGUCGAACCCUGCCCAGCAGAACGACCCGCGAACUUGUAUAAACAACCGGGGGCGGGGGGCGUUCUCGCCCCGUGCCCCCGAACGGCGGGGAGACACUCGUGCCUUCUUGCCGAACAACGAGCCCCGGCGCGGUCUGCGCCAAGGAACUUCAACUAAAGAGUGCCUCCGGUCGCCUCGGAAACGGCGUGCGUGCCGGGGGCGAAUCUUGUGCAAAACCAUAACGACUCUCGGCAACGGAUAUCUCGGCUCUC
Molecule: unclassified non-coding RNA, 282 nt
Filed under: plant metagenome
Description: partial contains small subunit ribosomal RNA, internal transcribed spacer 1, and 5.8S ribosomal RNA
Source: RNAcentral